Gallus gallus (chicken) is the source of this 2179-nucleotide long non-coding RNA. The record is from Ensembl. Lineage: Eukaryota; Metazoa; Chordata; Aves; Galliformes; Phasianidae.
CUUCUGCACGCUGGGUUUUAUAUCGCCUGGAGUAUUAAGGGAUGAAGUCAUGCAGAAGGGCUGUUUUUAUUCCCCAUCGAAUUGGCAUCGCUGUGAGCGGUGACAUAAGCACAGGACAAUGCUGAUGGACUGCUGUGGAUAAAUGAUGUUCGUUCUGCACCUUGAGGGUGGGAUGCUGCCUUGCACAGAGGUCAUGUCUUCCUCCACAUCCAGCACCGAUGGGGCUGUAUGGAACACCACACCAAUGGACUGCUGUGCCAACAACAUGUUGGGUUGGAGGUAUGCAAUUGCCAUCUGGGUACAGUCCCUGUGGCCAAACCCAAUGGCGAUGUAGGACACAAGGGUGGCUGCCCAUCGCCGCUCCCUCCGGAAAGGAGCCAGACAGGAGAGAAAUCACUGCUGUCCAUGCCCCAAAAUCAAGAUGUGAAGUGGACAAGGCUCUGUUCUGCUGUUCCCUCUGCUGAGAUGUCAGAAGGACUCCCCAGGCAUCCAUCCACACUGAACACCUCCAUGAGACCUCUCUGCCCCAGGAAGCAGGAAGAUGCCUUUAUAUGUCCCCUUUUAGCAGCUGCUGCAAACUUCUUUUAUGCUAAAGCACGUGGAGCCGCGUUGAUUUAUUUAGCAGCGUCUCUGGAGGCUUCUUCAAGGUUAAGAUGUAGACAUCGCAUGUUAGGCUGGGCUGAAUGCUGGCAGGAAAAGACAUUUGGCUCUUCUAAUUGGAAAAACACGCCGCUUUUAUCACCCCGAGGCCAAGCCUCUACCACAGCCACACAGCACAGGGGAACACAGCGGCUCAGCCCUGGGUCCCCAGAAAGGAGCACCGUCCCCUCACUGCCCUCCAGGUCAGCCCCGGUGGUGCACCCAUCCCUGCUGAGUGCUCAGCACCGGUCACGGAGCUGUCAGCCACGCUGUGCCUCAGUUUCCCCACUGCUGCUGGCUGCCAUGGGCUGCGUGCUGAGUUUCGGCGCAGUGUGUCUAAGAAGCCCCUUCCCCAUCCAUCUCGGUGUUCCCACUGCACAACACGGAGCACACCCACUGAUGAAGGCACACAGCAUCCUCAUCUGGCCGGGCUGCCUCAGCCACGUCGGUACUCAGAGCUACAGAUACAGAGGAAAAAAAGCGAUUGCAAAGCAGAAAGGACCGUUUUGGGGGUACAUUUGGCAGUGAAAUCAGAGCUCGGGCUGGGAACCAGCAGGACAGCCUCCCUGCAGCCUCCCUGCGAUGCUCUCCAUGCACCGAACCCCGCACCACUCCUUCCUACACCAUCCCCCCGCUCACACCAAUGACUUUUAUUUUCGUACACGAAAAAGAAAACGCACAACGGAUUGGGAGCGUUAUUUUUCUGAACGCCACUUCGAAGAGUAAAAAUCUGAAAGCGUAAAUCCGGAGCAUCGUGGCAAAAUCCGGGCUCGGUUUAAAAACUAAAAGGGUUCUGCGAUUGUUUCUUUUCGUUUGUGAAAUAAUUCAACCCUCACCAAUAUUCCGGGCAGACGACCGCCGUUUAAUCUCAGCGGUCGCACAACGAACUGAGAUUCCGAGGGGGUGAGAGCGUUCGGCGCAACGUAACUAUCAAAUAUCCCCCGAAGACUUAAAGCAAACCACACGUGGCUGCUUCUCUCGCUGCCCCACUGCCCGCAGCCAUCGGUGCAGGACGGAGGACCGCAGCGCUUCGCAGUGCCAUUAAGCAUUCGUUAAAACAUUUACUCGAUGGGCCGUAACAAAGCGCCGGAGCCGCGGGCGCACGCAGAGACUCCAUCGGACGGUUCUGCGGUGCAAAACCGUCGCGUUCAGAGCCGCGCAGCCCUCAGUCCCCUCUCAUCGCACCUCUCUCGGGCAGAUGCUGGAGGUGGAAGGGCUGCAGCUUACCCCGCUUUCUGCCGUCGGUUCUGGGCGUUCCGAUUUCGGGUUCCCCUCUCGGCCCGGAGCGCAGUGCCCGGCCCGUGGCAUCAGAGCCUGAGGGAUGGAGGGGGAAAGCAACGUGAGCCAGAAGCUCGCAGCGAGGUCUGUAAGUCCUUGUAUGGCAGAAAUAAACGUAUUACACCGUUAUUAGAGAUUUGGCGCUGGCCCUGUCGAGAAGCCCGGCUUUGGUGCUCUGCGAUUCCUCCCGAGAACAGAACUCAGCGGUUGCUCUCCGUACUCGCCGCGUUUUCUCUGGCCAAAUCCUGCCACCUUUUCUCAG